AUGAGUUCUCCCCUGGACUUUAAGUCCACUAAAGGAACGUUGAAGACGACGACGUUGAUAGGCCGGGUGUGUAAGCGCAGCGAUGCGUUGAGCUAACCGGUACUAAUGAACCGUGAGGCUUAACCUUA
This 128-nucleotide ribosomal RNA is filed under the name Enterobacter sp. NFR05. RNAcentral's name for it is "23S rRNA. Bacterial LSU". It matches the Rfam family "Bacterial large subunit ribosomal RNA", at positions 2804 to 2925 of the family's 2925-position model. Lineage: Bacteria; Pseudomonadati; Pseudomonadota; Gammaproteobacteria; Enterobacterales; Enterobacteriaceae. The record is from RNAcentral.